Long non-coding RNA from Propithecus coquereli (Coquerel's sifaka), 321 nucleotides. RefSeq lists it as uncharacterized. The record is from RefSeq and is a predicted model, not a curated record. Lineage: Eukaryota; Metazoa; Chordata; Mammalia; Primates; Indriidae. The transcript is spliced from 3 exons.
GAAAACGACAGUCUGAGAUACUCGGCCUUUGUUUUGUUUGGGCAAUUGGCUACCUUUGCUGGGCAGAAAUGGAAGAAAUUUUUCACCAGCCAGGUUAAGCAGACACGAGAGUCCCUCCUGAUCCAUUUACACGAUAGAAACCCCCGGGUUGCUAAGGCUUGCAAAGCAACUUUUCGAGCCUGUUCUCCAUAUCUGAAACUAAGGAAGGAAUACAGCUUCCAGAGUGAAGAUGAUCAAAGGAACCCUAAACUCUGCCGGCAGCUGAGCCACUAUCAUCCAGAGCUCCUGCAGUUCUUCUAUGCAAAUAAAAUUCUGUAAACG